GGAUGUAAGGGUGAUCUGGCUGUGACAUAUGUCACCCCAAUGAUCACCAGGGUUGAUUCGGCUGAUCUGGCUGGCUAGGCGGGUGUCCCCUUCCUCCCUCACCACUCCAUGUGCGUCCCUCCUGAAGCUGCGCACUUGGUCGAAGAGGACGAUUUUCCCCGACAGAGGAGAGGACCAUUCUUUCGGUCAAGGGUAUACGAGUAGCUGCGCUCCCCUGCUAGAACCUCCAAACAAGCUCUCAAAAAGGAUGUUGACCCAUAAAGAAAUAUAGGUUGGAGAUUCUUAGAACUUUUGCUUCACCCCUGUAACCUGUGAUGCCUUUAUGU
Molecule: non-coding RNA, 326 nt
Organism: Pteropus alecto (black flying fox)
Lineage: Eukaryota; Metazoa; Chordata; Mammalia; Chiroptera; Pteropodidae
Source: Rfam